RNAcentral lists this long non-coding RNA (519 nucleotides) under Rosa chinensis. RNAcentral's name for it is "sRNA RchiOBHm_Chr7g0181181". The record is from RNAcentral. Lineage: Eukaryota; Viridiplantae; Streptophyta; Magnoliopsida; Rosales; Rosaceae.
AUGUGUGGGAAAAUGGAAAGGAAAUGGAGAGACAAAGAAGAUGGAAUGGAUGAAGGAAUUGGAAAAUGGAGAGGAAAUGGUGAGACAAGGAGAUGAAAUGGAUGAAGGAAUGUGAAUUGGUGAUUGAGAGUGAGAGGAGAAGGUGUUUAAAUAGGGAAGAAAAAGAAGAGUGAAAUGAUGAGAUGAAGAAAAAUAAUGAAAGUGGAGUAUGAGAGUGGUUUGUAAAAUAUGUAAAAGAUGAGGUAAUGAUGAAAGCAAAGCAUGAAGGUGAAGAAAUGUGGAAGUGAUGAUGAUCUUUUAGGGUAGAAAAAUUGUAUCCAAGGAAAAAGAAAUGCUUUCUUCAUAUGGGUGGGAAACAUGAAUAUGUGGUGUUGAGCUGUUUUCAGGUCAGUUUCUUCCCCUUUAUUCCUUCAAUUAUUUCUCCAUCAAAACUUCAGAAUGAGCCUUCGACUUCUUCAUAAAAAAUGUUCCACUAUGAGUGUAUAUCAUCCUCACAAAUUUUCAGAGCUUUAUUCCAUG